This 496-nucleotide ribosomal RNA is filed under the name uncultured bacterium. RNAcentral describes it as "partial 16S ribosomal RNA". It matches the Rfam family "Bacterial small subunit ribosomal RNA", at positions 29 to 507 of the family's 1533-position model. The record is from RNAcentral.
AUGAACGCUGGCGGCGUGCCUAAUACAUGCAAGUCGAGCGAACGGACGAGAAGCUUGCUUCUCUGAUGUUAGCGGCGGACGGGUGAGUAACACGUGGAUAACCUACCUAUAAGACUGGGAUAACUUCGGGAAACCGGAGCUAAUACUGGAUGAUAUUUUGAACCGCAUGGUUCAAAAGUGAAAGACGGUCUUGCUGUCACUUAUAGAUGGAUCCGCGCUGCAUUAGCUAGUUGGUAAGGUAACGGCUUACCAAGGCAACGAUGCAUGGCCGACCUGAGAGGGUGAUCGGCCACACUGGAACUGAGACACGGUCCAGACUCCUACGGGAGGCAGCAGUAGGGAAUCUUCCGCAAUGGGCGAAAGCCUGACGGAGCAACGCCGCGUGAGUGAUGAAGGUCUUCGGAUCGUAAAACUCUGUUAUUAGGGAAGAACAUAUGUGUAAGUAACUGUGCACAUCUUGACGGUACCUAAUCAGAAAGCCACGGCUAACUACGUG